GAAUGAGGCAGGGACAAACGCCUGCGUUGGCAGGACGCGGUGGUUAGGGCUGAUAUACUGCAGCUGGUUAAUACCUGGCCUGGGGAGCUGGGAGCAGCUUGUGUCUUUAUUGCUUGGUUUUUGGUUUAUAGCUCUUGGCAGAUACCCAGAGAACGAGAUGAGUCCCUGUUUUUAAUCCUGUUACAGAACCAACCCCACAACAUGAUGCUGAGCACCACGGAGCGUGCAGGCAUGGGGAAUACCCCUGCCACAGAGCUGUGCCUGCUGUGAUUGCUGUGCCCUUCUCCCGGGAGGUGCUGCCAUCCCCUGCACACGAGUCGGGGCAAAACCCUGGAUGUUCUGGCUCUCGUGCUUCCCCUUUGAGACAACGGGCUGUGCCUGCAGACCAGGAGUAGGAGGAACUUCCCUCCUACUAGGGAGGGGGUGACAUCCCACGCUUCAGUCUGCUUUGUUAUCCACGACUGUUUCCUCGUUGUGUUUGUUAUGGAAUUGGAGAGCACAGUUGGCAGACGCAGCCCAUGAACACUGCACAAGCUCUAUGAGGAGAGAGAAGAGCCACCAAAAUCUGCCUACUCCUCAUUGAGCCUCUGUGUAUUGCACGAAUGGUGGUCAUCAACCCAGGAUUGCCAGACCUGAGCCUCAGAGAGCAGGGAAGACGGAGUGUUUCCAAGAUUUUUAAUGACGGUAGGUGGAACAGUGCUAUGCCACUGCAGCAGUGGUGGUGCCUGCCUGCACCCAAACAGCACACCUACAUGUGGGGCAAUGCUGCAGUCGUGUCAUCAGAGUGCCUUUGACAAGCUUCAAGGUGACACCACAGUCACUCAGAGAUCACACAGGUGCUGGGGGUUCCUGGCCCUGAUGCCCAUGUAG
Molecule: long non-coding RNA, 870 nt
Filed under: Strigops habroptila (Kakapo)
Lineage: Eukaryota; Metazoa; Chordata; Aves; Psittaciformes; Psittacidae
Description: lncRNA (ENSSHBG00005006364.1)
Source: RNAcentral